GACAUUACUUUGAUGGAGCCAAAUGAAUGUGUUCACUCCCAGAGAGCCGGUGGUAGGUGCAAACCGGUAGGAAGUCAUUCAUCGAGCACUCCGGAGUAGACUAGCUGAACUCGAUAGAUAGUAGGUUAGUACGGUGGAAACCGUUAUCUCAUGUGUCGAUUUCUUUUAUUUCGACCAGCAAGGUCAUAUGUGUGAGCAUAUGACAAACUGAGGGUGGCACCACGACCUUUCGUCCCUCAU
This 240-nucleotide non-coding RNA is filed under the name Thermoactinomyces sp. RNAcentral's name for it is "T-box sequence". It matches the Rfam family "T-box leader". From Rfam's summary of the family: Uncharged tRNA acts as the effector for transcription antitermination of genes in the T-box leader family. T-boxes are found upstream of many aminoacyl-tRNA synthetase genes and some amino acid biosynthetic genes usually in Gram-positive bacteria. The anticodon of a specific tRNA base pairs to a specifier sequence within the T-box motif, and the NCCA acceptor tail of the tRNA base pairs to a conserved bulge in the T-box antiterminator hairpin. The record is from RNAcentral. Lineage: Bacteria; Bacillati; Bacillota; Bacilli; Caryophanales; Thermoactinomycetaceae.